AGCUUUGUGCAGUGGGAGAAUUGUAACCAAUGAGGCUUAUCCAAGGCACGACUAUUGCUAACUAAAUAUCUUACUUCUGUUUCCUAUAUUUAACCAGAAGAAACUAGGAUUUCUUCAUUCCCUCUAAGAAAG
RNAcentral lists this small nuclear RNA (132 nucleotides) under Saimiri boliviensis boliviensis (Bolivian squirrel monkey). RNAcentral's name for it is "U4 spliceosomal RNA (ENSSBOG00000015900.1)". Lineage: Eukaryota; Metazoa; Chordata; Mammalia; Primates; Cebidae. The record is from RNAcentral.